UCGGCAGCUGAGGGCUGGCUGGAUGAGCUGUUCAUUUAUUAUCUGCUGCUGCUACAGGUAAUCCUGAUGAUCGCGUCACUACUAGAGAGAGUUGGACACACCAAGAGAAGAGACUGAUUUGAAUGUGGCCACAGGACAUGCACAAAUAUAUUCUUAGCCCAUGGCCUUUUAAAAAACACACACACACACACAAAGCAGAGUUCAGCAGCUGAAACCAAGUGCUUGUUUCUCAGCUGACCCAGUCAGCAAAGGGCAAACGGACUGUUCUUACAUAACUUGGAAAUGCUCAGGCUUGUGUUGUUGUGACAUAAUAAGGGAUCAGCAGGGCUAGAUAAUGUUUGUUCAACAACAUUGAAGAGCAGCAGACUCAUGAAACAGAUCGGGUCAAAUGGCGUCUGAGUGAGAGGAAACGCUGCGGCCGUGGCAGUAGCACACAGUGCUAUUUCAGCAACAGGAACUUUUCCACACAUGAGAUUGCCAGAGGAAGGUAUUGACUCCACUGGAUGGUGGAUGAUGGAUGAUGACAGUGCGGCCGACAUACCUGAUGUGGGUUCAACCUGCACAAUGAUGUCAUCUUGAACUGGAAUAAACCCUACUAGUGGACCACAACAGAAGGAAAGGAGGGGCCUCCAUAAAAACAAUGUCUCCCUGCACAAUUCACUGCAUUUGCCACAUAUGCAUUCAUUCUUUCACUAUCAGAAUUGAAAAUGCAAGUGUGCGUGUUUGCACAUAUGCAUAUAAUAUGAAUAUUGAUUAGCACCUAUUUGGGUCAGACGAUGGAUUCUGAUGUAUUGUGCGAAAUCCUGUAACAUUAAUGUUUUAAAUGUGCAGCCUGAUUAUUAAUAUGAAAGAUAAAGGUUUUUUUUAAGCAGGUUUCAAAAUGACAGGUGCAUAAAUAGAGUGUGAUGUUAA
Long non-coding RNA from Hippoglossus stenolepis (Pacific halibut), 912 nucleotides. RefSeq lists it as uncharacterized. Lineage: Eukaryota; Metazoa; Chordata; Actinopteri; Pleuronectiformes; Pleuronectidae. The transcript is spliced from 3 exons. The record is from RefSeq and is a predicted model, not a curated record.